Molecule: microRNA, 20 nt
Filed under: Ornithorhynchus anatinus (platypus)
Lineage: Eukaryota; Metazoa; Chordata; Mammalia; Monotremata; Ornithorhynchidae
Description: oan-miR-1393
Source: miRBase by way of RNAcentral
UCACCUUCCCUGCAGCCACU